RNAcentral lists this ribosomal RNA (274 nucleotides) under uncultured bacterium. RNAcentral describes it as "partial 16S ribosomal RNA". It matches the Rfam family "Bacterial small subunit ribosomal RNA", at positions 523 to 796 of the family's 1533-position model. The record is from RNAcentral.
AUACGGAGGGUCCGAGCGUUAUCCGGAAUCAUUGGGUUUAAAGGGUCCGUAGGCGGGAAUCUAAGUCAGUGGUGAAAUCUUGCAGCUCAACUGUAAAAUUGCCAUUGAUACUGGAUUUCUUGAAUUAGUGUGAAGUGAUUAGAAUGUGUAGUGUAGCGGUGAAAUGCAUAGAUAUUACACAGAAUACCAAUUGCGAAGGCAGAUCACUAACACUAUAUUGACGCUGAGGGACGAAAGCGUGGGGAGCGAACAGGAUUAGAUACCCCUGUAGUCC